RNAcentral lists this ribosomal RNA (253 nucleotides) under uncultured bacterium. Its description in RNAcentral is "partial 16S ribosomal RNA". It matches the Rfam family "Bacterial small subunit ribosomal RNA", at positions 524 to 776 of the family's 1533-position model. The record is from RNAcentral.
UACGUAGGGUGCAAGCGUUGUCCGGAAUUAUUGGGCGUAAAGAGCUCGUAGGCGGCUUGUCACGUCGGGUGUGAAAGCCCGGGGCUUAACCCCGGGUCUGCAUUCGAUACGGGCUAGCUAGAGUGUGGUAGGGGAGAGCGGAAUUCCUGGUGUAGCGGUGAAAUGCGCAGAUAUCAGGAGGAACACCGGUGGCGAAGGCGGAUCUCUGGGACAUUACUGACGCUGAGGAGCGAAAGCGUGGGGAGCGAACAGG